Molecule: ribosomal RNA, 449 nt
Filed under: uncultured bacterium
Lineage: Bacteria
Description: partial 16S ribosomal RNA
Rfam family: Bacterial small subunit ribosomal RNA
Source: RNAcentral
GUGGGGAAUCUUCCGCAAUGGACGAAAGUCUGACGGAGCAACGCCGCGUGAGUGAAGAAGGUUUUCGGAUCGUAAAGCUCUUUCGUUAGGGACGAACGUGCUCUUUGUGAAUAAUGAGGAGUAAUGACGGUACCUAAAUAAGAAGCCACGGCUAACUACGUGCCAGCAGCCGCGGUAAUACGUAGGUGGCAAGCGUUGUCCGGAAUUAUUGGGCGUAAAGCGCGCGCAGGCGGGAUAUCAAGUCUGUCGUAAAAGUGCGAGGCUCAACCUCGUGAGGGGACAGAAACUGGUAUUCUUGAGUGUCGGAGAGGAAAGUGGAAUUCCAAGUGUAGCGGGAAAUGCGUAGAGAUUUGGAAGAACACCAGUGGCGAAGGCGACUUUCUGGACGAUGUCUGACGCUGAGGCGCGAAAGCUAGGGGAGCGAACGGGAUUAGAUACCCUUGUAGUCC